GAUGAACGCUGGCGGCGUGCCUAAUACAUGCAAGUCGAGCGAACAGACGAGGAUCUUGCUCCUCUGACGUUAGCGGCGGACGGGUGAGUAACACGUGGAUAACCUACCUAUAAGACUGGGAUAACUUCGGGAAACCGGAUCUAAUACCGGAUAAUAUAUUGAACCGCAUGGUUCAAUAGUGAAAGACGUUUUUGCUGUCCCUUAUAGAUGUAUCCACGCUGCAGUAGUUAGUUCGUAAGGUAACGGCUUACCAAGGCUAUGAUGCGUAGCUGACCUGAGAGGGUGAUCAGUCACACUGGAACUGAGACACGAGCCAAGCUCCGACGGGAGGCAGCAGUGGGGAAUAUUGGAGAAUGAGCGAAAGCCUGAUCCAGCCAUGCAGAGGAUGUAAAGAAGGUCUUCGGAUUGUAAAACACUUUAAGUUGGCAGGAAGAGAAGUAAGUUAAAACCUAGCUAUUGUGACGUUACCAACAGAAUAAGCACCGGCUAACUUCGUG
This 497-nucleotide ribosomal RNA is filed under the name uncultured bacterium. RNAcentral describes it as "partial 16S ribosomal RNA". It matches the Rfam family "Bacterial small subunit ribosomal RNA", at positions 28 to 507 of the family's 1533-position model. The record is from RNAcentral.